GCCAGGUGUGGUGGCGCACGCCUAUAAUCCUGGCUCAGGAGGCUGAGACAGGAGGACUGCAAGUUCAAAGAAGCCUUGGCACCUUAGUGAGGCCCUAAGCAACUCAAUGAGACCCUGUCUCUA
Molecule: small RNA, 123 nt
Filed under: Marmota monax (woodchuck)
Lineage: Eukaryota; Metazoa; Chordata; Mammalia; Rodentia; Sciuridae
Source: RNAcentral